RNAcentral lists this ribosomal RNA (469 nucleotides) under uncultured bacterium. RNAcentral describes it as "bacterial SSU rRNA". It matches the Rfam family "Bacterial small subunit ribosomal RNA", at positions 328 to 793 of the family's 1533-position model. The record is from RNAcentral.
UGCCCAGACUCCUACGGGAGGCAGCAGUGAGGAAUAUUGGUCAAUGGCCGAAGGGCUGAACCAGCCAAGCCGCGUGAAGGAAUAAGGCCCUACGGGUCGUAAACUUCUUUAGUCAGGGAACAAAGGGUGCCACGCGUGGCGCUGUGAGUGUACCUGAAGAAUAAGCAUCGGCUAACUCCGUGCCAGCAGCCGCGGUAAUACGGAGGAUGCGAGCGUUAUCCGGAUUUAUUGGGUUUAAAGGGUGCGUAGGCGGACUGUCAAGUCAGCGGUAAAAUUGCGGGGCUCAACCUCGUCGAGCCGUUGAAACUGGGUGCCUUGAGUGGGCGAGAAGUACGCGGAAUGCGUGGUGUAGCGGUGAAAUGCAUAGAUAUCACGCAGAACUCCGAUUGCGAAGGCAGCGUACCGGCGCCCAACUGACGCUGAAGCACGAAGGCGUGGGUAUCGAACAGGAUUAGAUACCCCCGUAUUG